GGAGGACCAUCUCCUAAGGCUAAAUACUCUCUAGUGACCGAUAGUGAACCAGUACCGUGAGGGAAAGGUGAAAAGCACCCCGGAAGGGGAGUGAAAUAGAACCUGAAACCGUGUGCUUACAAGUAGUCAGAGCCCGUUAAUGGGUGAUGGCGUGCCUUUUGUAGAAUGAACCGGCGAGUUACGAUUUGAUGCAAGGUUAAGCAGUAAAUGUGGAGCCGUAGCGAAAGCGAGUCUGAAUAGGGCGUUUAGUAUUUGGUCGUAGACCCGAAACCAGGUGAUCUACCCUUGGUCAGGUUGAAGUUCAGGUAACACUGAAUGGAGGACCGAACCGACUUACGUUGAAAAGUGAGCGGAUGAACUGAGGGUAGCGGAGAAAUUCCAAUCGAACCUGGAGAUAGCUGGUUCUCUCCGAAAUAGCUUUAGGGCUAGCCUCAAGUGAUGAUUAUUGGAGGUAGAGCACUGUUUGGACGAGGGGCCCCUCUCGGGUUACCGAAUUCAGACAAACUCCGAAUGCCAAUUAAUUUAACUUGGGAGUCAGAACAUGGGUGAUAAGGUCCGUGUUCGAAAGGGAAACAGCCCAGACCACCAGCUAAGGUCCCAAAAUAUAUGUUAAGUGGAAAAGGAUGUGGCGUUGCCCAGACAACUAGGAUGUUGGCUUAGAAGCAGCCAUCAUUUAAAGAGUGCGUAAUAGCUCACUAGUCGAGUGACACUGCGCCGAAAAUGUACCGGGGCUAAACAUAUUACCGAAGCUGUGGAUUGUCCUUUGGACAAUGGUAGGAGAGCGUUCUAAGGGCGUUGAAGCAUGAUCGUAAGGACAUGUGGAGCGCUUAGAAGUGAGAAUGCCGGUGUGAGUAGCGAAAGACGGGUGAGAAUCCCGUCCACCGAUUGACUAAGGUUUCCAGAGGAAGGCUCGUCCGCUCUGGGUUAGUCGGGUCCUAAGCUGAGGCCGACAGGCGUAGGCGAUGGAUAACAGGUUGAUAUUCCUGUACCACCUAUAAUCGUUUUAAUCGAUGGGGGGACGCAGUAGGAUAGGCGAAGCGUGCGAUUGGAUUGCACGUCUAAGCAGUAAGGCUGAGUAUUAGGCAAAUCCGGUACUCGUUAAGGCUGAGCUGUGAUGGGGAGAAGACAUUGNGUCUUCGAGUCGUUGAUUUCACACUGCCGAGAAAAGCCUCUAGAUAGAAAAUAGGUGCCCGUACCGCAAACCGACACAGGUAGUCAAGAUGAGAAUUCUAAGGUGAGCGAGCGAACUCUCGUUAAGGAACUCGGCAAAAUGACCCCGUAACUUCGGGAGAAGGGGUGCUCUUUAGGGUUAACGCCCAGAAGAGCCGCAGUGAAUAGGCCCAAGCGACUGUUUAUCAAAAACACAGGUCUCUGCUAAACCGUAAGGUGAUGUAUAGGGGCUGACGCCUGCCCGGUGCUGGAAGGUUAAGAGGAGUGGUUAGCUUCUGCGAAGCUACGAAUCGAAGCCCCAGUAAACGGCGGCCGUAACUAUAACGGUCCUAAGGUAGCGAAAUUCCUUGUCGGGUAAGUUCCGACCCGCACGAAAGGCGUAACGAUUUGGGCACUGUCUCAACGAGAGACUCGGUGAAAUCAUAGUACCUGUGAAGAUGCAGGUUACCCGCGACAGGACGGAAAGACCCCGUGGAGCUUUACUGUAGCCUGAUAUUGAAAUUCGGCACAGCUUGUACAGGAUAGGUAGGAGCCUUUGAAACGUGAGCGCUAGCUUACGUGGAGGCGCUGGUGGGAUACUACCCUAGCUGUGUUGGCUUUCUAACCCGCACCACUUAUCGUGGUGGGAGACAGUGUCAGGCGGGCAGUUUGACUGGGGCGGUCGCCUCCUAAAAGGUAACGGAGGCGCUCAAAGGUUCCCUCAGAAUGGUUGGAAAUCAUUCAUAGAGUGUAAAGGCAUAAGGGAGCUUGACUGCGAGACCUACAAGUCGAGCAGGGUCGAAAGACGGACUUAGUGAUCCGGUGGUUCCGCAUGGAAGGGCCAUCGCUCAACGGAUAAAAGCUACCCCGGGGAUAACAGGCUUAUCUCCCCCAAGAGUUCACAUCGACGGGGAGGUUUGGCACCUCGAUGUCGGCUCAUCGCAUCCUGGGGCUGUAGUCGGUCCCAAGGGUUGGGCUGUUCGCCCAUUAAAGCGGUACGCGAGCUGGGUUCAGAACGUCGUGAGACAGUUCGGUCCCUAUCCGUCGUGGGCGUAGGAAAUUUGAGAGGAGCUGUCCUUAGUACGAGAGGACCGGGAUGGACAUACCUCUGGUGUACCAGUUGUCGUGCCAACGGCAUAGCUGGGUAGCUAUGUGUGGACGGGAUAAGUGCUGAAAGCAUCUAAGCAUGAAGCCCCCCUCAAGAUGAGAUUUCCCAACUUCGGUUAUAAGAUCCCUCAAAGAUGAUGAGGUUAAUAGGUUCGAGGUGGAAGCAUGGUGACAUGUGGAGCUGACGAAUACUAAUCGAUCGAAGACUUAAUCAA
Molecule: ribosomal RNA, 2471 nt
Filed under: Staphylococcus aureus
Lineage: Bacteria; Bacillati; Bacillota; Bacilli; Caryophanales; Staphylococcaceae
Description: 23S ribosomal RNA
Rfam family: Bacterial large subunit ribosomal RNA
Source: RNAcentral